Non-coding RNA from Pelobates cultripes (western spadefoot toad), 375 nucleotides. Lineage: Eukaryota; Metazoa; Chordata; Amphibia; Anura; Pelobatidae. The record is from the annotation of a GenBank genome assembly.
GGGGAUGUGCCCCUCCCUACCUCCCCCCCCCCCGGUUCCUACGCCCUAUAGAAAUAAAGCCUUUUUCCAUUCUGACAACUUGAGCAGUUGAAAAGUAAGAUGGGGGCUUUAAAGUCCCUCUAUUGAACACAGGCAGCAGUGAUUGUGGUGUUUUAGUUUAAAUUUAAGUUUACAAUGCAUUAAAAUCUAAUAUGUAUAUAAAAAUGGAGAGAAAGGAAGUAGAGAGAAUGUAUCAGGUUGCUAAAUUAUAAUGGGGGGUUACCCAUACACUUAAAUUACUAAUAAGAAAAGAAAACACAUACAAGAAUUCCAAAAGGUAAAAGAAUGUCUAACAGCAUUCACUUUAAGGAUCUUGUAUAUUAUCAGCAACCCUAA